AUGGCCGAGGUUGUGACCGGAGCAAUGAGCACCCUCCUUCCUAAGCUAGCCGACUUAAUCACGGAGGAGUACAACCUUCACAAGGGUAUCAGGGGCGAGGUCAUGUUCCUCAAAGCUGAGAUGGAAAGCAUGGAGACAGCUCUCCUGAAAGUUUCUGAGGCACCAAUCGACCAGCCACCGGACAUCCAAAUCAAGCUUUGGGCCAAGGCUGUGAGGGACCUGUCAUAUGACCUUGAAGACAGCAUCGACAGAUUCAUGGUGCGCAUCGAAACCCAUGGACAAGACAAGUCCCAUAGCUUCAGGAACUUCAUUGAUAAGAGCAUCAGCUUGCUGACCAAAGGCAAGAUUCGUCAUAAGAUCGCCAUUGAUAUCAAAGACAUCAAGAGCCGCAUCAAGGAGGUCAGCAAGCGGCGUGAUAGGUACAAGGUUGACAAUGUGGCCGCUGCCAAGUCAACUGGUCCAAGUGUUGAUACCCUUCGUUUGUCAGCCUUGUAUACAAAGGCCAGUGAGCUUGUCGGCACUGACGAGAAGAGCCUUGAGGUAGUCAAAAUGUUGACGGAGGGAGAUGAGGCUUCCAAGAAACAGCUGAAGGUGGUAUCCAUUGUUGGCUUAGGUGGAUUAGGCAAGACAACACUUGCCAAUGCAGUGUAUGAGAAGCUUAAAGCGCAAUUUGAUAUUCAAAAACAAAAACCGCAAUUCGAUUGUACGGCUUUUGUUUCCGUGUCUCUUAAUCCUAGCAUGGAGAAGAUUUUCAAGAGCUUGCUCCAUCAACUUACCAACCUGAAGUACGAGAAUAUUGAGGCAACAUGGGGUGAAGCGCAACUCAUUAGCGAGAUAAGAACAUUCCUUGGAAACAAGAGGUACUUGAUUGUUAUUGAUGACAUAUGGGAUAAAUAUGUCUGGGAAGGCAUCAAAUGUGCUUUUAGAGAGAAUGGGCAUGGAAGCAGAGUAAUAAUAACAACCCGUAUUCUUGAUGUUGCGCAUCAAGCUGGUGGCGUUUAUCGGCUACAGCCACUUUCUGUUGUUGACUCGAGGAAGUUGUUCCACCGAAGAAUAUAUGAGACCGACAACAAAUCACCACCUAAUCAUUUGGUUGAAGUAUCUGAGAAUGUUUUAGAAAGAUGUGGUGGAGUGCCUUUAGCUAUCAUUACAAUUGGUAGCCUGCUGUCCAGUAAAAAGGGAAGAGCACAUACACAUGAGUAUUGGUCCAAGGUGUACAAAUCUAUGGGUUCUGGACUAGAUAAUAGUCAUGAUGAUGUUAAGAACAUGAGAAGGAUAUUAUCCGUCAGUUACUCUGACCUACCUCCACACCUAAAAACUUGUUUACUGCAUCUCAGUCUGUAUACAGAGGAUUAUGAGAUUGAAACUGAGCCAUUGAUAUGGAAAUGGGUGGGUGAAGGUUUUCUAAAAGAAGAACGGGGGAUGAGCUUAUAUGAAGUAGGAGAGGAUUAUUUCAACCAGCUCAUUAAUAAAAGCUUGGUCCAACCAGUAAAAAUUGACAAUGUGAAUAAAGUGCGUUCUUGUCGCAUACACGAUAUGGUGCGUGACAUGAUCACUUCCUUGUCAAAUGAAGAGAAUUUCCUAACAACAAUUGGUGGUCCGCAGCCAGUGAGUCUACCAAGUAAGAUCCGCCGACUGUCUGUCCAGACAUGCAUUGAAGAUGUUGCUAAUCAGCUGCCACCCAUGGGAUUGACCCAUGUGAGGUCACUUACUGUGUCUAAUCCAGCUUUCAGUUUGUUGCCGGCAUUGUCGGGUUUUCCAGUCCUACGUGUGUUGGAUUUUUGGCUGCUGGGAGGUGGAUAA
RNAcentral lists this ribosomal RNA (1803 nucleotides) under Triticum aestivum (bread wheat). RNAcentral's name for it is "partial small subunit ribosomal RNA". The record is from RNAcentral. Lineage: Eukaryota; Viridiplantae; Streptophyta; Magnoliopsida; Poales; Poaceae.